GUUAGUAAAUAGAUGUUAAACAUUCUUUAGAAUGGGGCAUAAAGAGUUAUUUUCUGACGAUACUGGCGCAAUUUUAGAAUUCUCCAAAAAAAAAAAAAAUACAAGAAUAUUUGUGGAUUUAAUACCAUUAAUAUGCGAUGCUAAAAAAUCUAUAUACCGUUCUAAAGUGGCAUUGUGGCUUAAUUGACUUGUCGUCUAAGAAUAGAUAAACAAUAUCUUCUCUUUACCUGAAAUAAUAGUACAUAGAAGAAGCAAAGUCGCUUCUUUUUAUGCAUGCGCUCUUACUUGAACCACUCCAAGAAAAGAUCAAGACAAAAGACCGAAGUGUGCCGAGCCAACGACACGAAUAGCUAGACAAUUUAGUCUAGAGAAAGAGUUGAUAUUUUACGGCUGGUGGAAACAAUUCUAGUCAUUGUCAGAUGCUUUUAUAGACUUGGCUUCACCUCCCGAGGUUUAACCACCCUAAUGCUCAAAGGUCGCACACAGAAUCUUGUUUAUUUAAUCGAAUUAACUGUGUUAAUAACGUACGUCAUUAUGCAUAAGUGUAUUAUUUACACUCCGGAUGGCAUAAAAAAAAUGCACUGUCAAUCUUUUAAGAAAUUCUGUUUGUUUGUUUGUUUGCUUGUUCCGAUUAUUCCCUCAGCAUAUCUCUUAGAUUAUACACAUAUAUUAAAGUGUUAUUUCGAUUGUUUACCUAAAGUAAGGAAUGG
Molecule: long non-coding RNA, 710 nt
Filed under: Androctonus crassicauda
Lineage: Eukaryota; Metazoa; Arthropoda; Arachnida; Scorpiones; Buthidae
Source: RNAcentral